This is a long non-coding RNA of Asparagus officinalis (garden asparagus), 1081 nucleotides long. RefSeq lists it as uncharacterized. NCBI's taxonomy places the organism in Eukaryota, Viridiplantae, Streptophyta, Magnoliopsida, Asparagales, Asparagaceae. The record is from RefSeq and is a predicted model, not a curated record. The transcript is spliced from 3 exons.
CAGAGAAGAUUUCUUUUUAUCUCUGAUUUUAGCAUCGUCAUCAAGGUUUUUGGUGUUGAGAUCACAUCUUUGAAAACAGCAGGUUCUAACUGAUAUGUAUUUUUGUGAAAGUAAUUGAAAUUAUCCUGUCUGAGCUUAGUUCUCUAUUAUUGUGACUGAAGUUAUAAGUGUUUAGCUUGAUGUCGAUGAUAUUUACCUUAUCGGACACAUGCAAGAUUUGUCCUAUAAAAUUCUUGCUAUCUGCCUUUACAUUUGCCAGGGAUAACAAUCAUGGGAACUGUUACCUCAAGUAGUCUGUUCGUAGAACUGCAUUCACAAAAAUCACUUGCUAUCAGGUUUAUAUUUAGUAGAUUUCAAUGUGUACACUUGCAUUGCAGCCACUGAAAGUGCUUAGCACUUAAAACACACAACCAUCAAUUAGAAUGCUGGAAAACCACACGCGCAUGCACGUGCGCACACACAGAGGAACAUGGAUAUAUACACACUAGUGGGUGUGAAAAUGUAAAAAACAUUUAUGUUCAUGAAGUUGUUGCUGUUUUGUUUAGACCACGUGCAUUCAAUGUUGUCGCUUUCCUCAAUAGGAUAAUGAUCUUUUCGAGUUUGAUGAGUCUCGAGAAAUAAUAGAAAGCUUGAUUGAUGAAUACAAGGCAUGCGAGUCACCAGAUUAUAUCAAAUGGGGAUGGAGGAUGCUGACCGAUCAUUGACAGGAGAAGCCAGUGUUGCUGGAGCAUUGGAAUCGAAGUUGACGAUGUAAUCAAGUAGGGCGUGUGAUAAGGCAAAAGGUACAAGCUUGAAUAUUGCUACAGAACUCGUCCUUGUAAUCCGAAAGAUUACGGUCAAGAUGUUCAAAUCGUGAAGUUAUUUUGUCGUGUGUACAUAUGUAUGGAGAGAAUUACCAUUCGUUGUGUUUCGGUGUGGCCUUGUAUUCAUGAGAAUUUAUACUUUAUAUUAGGAAUAUCAUGACAUUUAUUUUAGAUUUGUUUUGAUUCUUUCAUUUACUUUAUAAGCAUUCUUGUUAGGUUGUAAUUUCCACCAUCUUCUGAUGUGAAAACUUGUGUUUAUGUGGCUUUGGUUUCUUAUU